This 2918-nucleotide long non-coding RNA is filed under the name Erythranthe guttata (spotted monkey flower). Its description in RNAcentral is "long non-coding RNA (EGUT_LNC003266)". The record is from RNAcentral. Lineage: Eukaryota; Viridiplantae; Streptophyta; Magnoliopsida; Lamiales; Phrymaceae.
AACAGUCAAGGCACCAAGGCUAGCGAUUCCUCGAACUCCACUCCACCGGCCUCCUAAAAAGCUUGGAGAACCUGAAAAGAUAAUUUGCAUAAAAGCAUGAGCCCAAACACUGGCUCAGUAAGGACAUUAGUCUUAGUCUGACGAACUCACGCCUCUCUCAUCGUGUCACUCACGACCUAUGGGAGUCCUAAAGUCCCUGUCUAUGUUCUUUUCUGUCUAAGGCUUUUACGUCAUAAUUGUAUCAUGUUAUAGUCUUUCAUCGACGUUAAUCACGACAUAUAAUCACGCCACAAAUAAUUAAACAUAUAACUUCACAUAUGAGCACAUAAUAAAAAGUCUGGUUUUGCUUUGGAAGCCAUUUGAAAUUCACUUUGAAAAUCAUGUGGGGAUUCGUUUUCCUUUAGAAAUCACUUCUUAGUUCAUUUCGGAACUUGUCUUGGACAAAAUAUCCCUUUCAACGAAGUUCCCCUUUUUUUAGAACGAAAACCCCUUUUUAAAACUCUUUUUAAAACCAUUUUUCUUUCAAAAUCUUUCGUAUGCAAGUAUGCACAUGUUGGGAUCCCCAUCAAAAUUCUAACGUAAGCAUCGGCAAUAGACGUUUAUAUGCUGAGCCCGGUCAUUCGGUGGGAGCUAACCACCCUAUAGUUCUAUAGUAACUGUUGUUGGGAUACCGGCCCCCCGUAUCCCGUGUCUAUUCAACCGUAGCAACGUUACAAUUUUGAUUCUUCUAUAGUAGACCAUGCAAUACCAAUUAAUGACUCGAUGAAUGCACGCAAGUAAAAGAUCUUAAUAGCAAUACGAUAAUAAUUCCAAUUAUAUCAUUCACGUAUUUCGAAGGAAUUAAAUCACAUAAUUCGGAAGUAAUUUCCGAGGCUAUAGUAAGCACAAGUAGAUCAAACAUUAGUAAUAAAGAACACAUAUACUUGUACACGUAUAUACACAUAGGCACUUAUACGUAUUUAUAUACUUAUACUUAUACAUAUAUACUCUAAUUUAUAACUAUGGGUUAUAAGUUUCCUCAACCCGAAGGGAGUACGCCUAUAACAUCAUAGGUCUAAACUAUCGAUAUACAUAUAAAUAUACUUAUACAUAUACAUACUUAUACCUCACAAGAGUAAAUCACAUAAUUCAAAUACACAUAAUGAAAUUCAACGCUUCUUAUUUAAAGAAUCAUCGGGAAAUCUAAUUCAUUAUAAGUACUAGCACAAAUUAAGUUCAAGAACAACUUAUUAUUCUAAUCAUAGAUUAGUCUAAGAAUAUUUCUUAGAUGUAGCUCAAUACUCAUGGGAAACUUCAUCUAUGUUCAACUAUUAUGUUAAGUUAUGCCUCAAGAGUUUAAACCAUGCUCACAAAGGACCUUUUGAUUCAAGUAGUUUACUCAUAGGAAAAUCGGACAGUUUUGACACUUUAACUUCAAAAAAUACAUUUCUCUUAGACCAUAACUUCAAAAAAUCUGAAACUUUGACACAAUACUCUUGUAUGAGUUUAAAAGACUCCUUUAAAACAGUUUUCCAAAAUAACUAGUAGACUAAGAGAAAUAAGUAAAACAGUGCAGGAGUGUGGUCACACUUUCAUAAACAGAAUCAACCCCUUUAAAAAUACCCAAUAAAUCACCCUUUUGUUAAAACACUGUAAAACUUUUCGGAAAACUGGUUUUAUAAGUUAUAAAUAUAUUCCAAGUGGAAUAAAGGAAAUCGAACUAGGAAAACAUCGAUUUUAAAAGCAAAUGCUCAGCUGACUCAAAAACUGUACAGGUUUAGUAAAUAAUUCAUAUCUUAAUCAUCUGAAAUCCAUUUGAUGAUUAAAAUAUAUCAAAUUAAAGAUAACAGAAAGAUCUAGUUACCCAUAAACUUUCGUGAUUUUAGGAAAACAGGGCAUCUGUGAAACAUGCAGUAAACUCCGAGACUGAAAACUGAAAAUUCAUUAGUGAUCUAUAUCUACAUCUUUGAUCAAAACAGAUCUGGCAGUUUAGGCACUAUAACUUCAGAAAUUCAUAUCUCCUAAACCGUAGAUCCAAACCUGAUGCAAUUUGGAACACAUGUUCAUAUCUAAGUCUAGUUUAUAGGGUUAAAACAGUUUAUGAAGAAACUCACGUAUGUAAGAGAUAUAUUCAAUUUAGUGCAGUGACAUAAGCAGAAAUUUCAGAACAGAUCCACUAACUUUAAAAAUACCAAUUAAUUGAUACCUUUAUCCAAAAAUUACCAAAUUUUUUAGAAUAUCAUUUUCAUAAGUACAUAAUCAUAUUCGAGUGAAAUCACUUCAAUAAGAGUAGUAUAAAAAGCUAUUUAACACAUAAUUCGUGGAUGACUCCAAAACUGUGCAGAUUCAGAAAAUGAUUCAUAACUCACUCAAUACUAAUCCAAUUUAUUCAUAAUUUAUAUCCACAUGAAGCUAACCAAAAGAUCUAGACUACCAUAAAAUUUCAUAAUUUUAUCUUAGGGAUUACCCGAUGAGACAUGCAAUACAAUCAGAAGCUACGAAACUGAAAUUCAAGUAGUGUUCAUCAAGAACUUUAUCUUCUAAAGCCCAAAAUUGAAACCACAAACAUAUAAUUCAUUAAAACUCAUAUAAUUUAUAUUAAUUAGGUUAUUAUUUCAGUAAAGACCAAGGUCCUUACCCAAGAGUAAGAAAUCGAAGAUGAAGGAGUAAGAAAACCAAAGGCUCGGUGGAUUUUCAGCGGGUUUGGCUUGGAUGUUCUUGGAGAGUUUUGGGGCUGAGUGUUGAGAGAUUAUAUGACUAUUUCUUUGACGGUAUUAGGAGAAUCCCGAAAUUAGGGAGAAAGAGGCAUUUUGGGGUGAUUUUAGAAGAGAAAAAGAGAGACUUCUAUGGAGAAUCUUCAAGGCUUUGAAGUGGAAGAUGAACUCUUCCAUUUGGGGAGUGUUUGGACGAGAUAGAGGGGAGAGAAUGAGGGAUUUUGG